RNAcentral lists this ribosomal RNA (443 nucleotides) under uncultured bacterium. RNAcentral's name for it is "bacterial SSU rRNA". It matches the Rfam family "Bacterial small subunit ribosomal RNA", at positions 29 to 455 of the family's 1533-position model. The record is from RNAcentral.
AACGAACGCUGGCGGCGUGCCUAACACAUGCAAGUCGAGCGCGAAAGUCCCUUCGGGGGCCAGUAGAGCGGCGGACGGGUGAGUAAUACGUGGGUAAUCUAUCCUCGAGCCCGGGAUAACCCUGCGAAAGCGGAGCUAAUACCGGAUAAGACCACACAGCAUAAGGUGUGUGGUAGAAGGUGGCUUGUAUUUAUACUUGCUAUCACUUGAGGCUGAGCCCAUGGCCUAUCAGCUAGUUGGUGAGGUAAUAGCUCACCAAGGCUAUGACGGGUAGCUGGUCUAAGAGGACGACCAGCCACACUGGGACUGAGACACGGCCCAGACUCCUACGGGAGGCAGCAGUGGGGAAUAUUGGGCAAUGGGCGAAAGCCUGACCCAGCGACGCCGCGUGGGUGAUGAAGGCCUUCGGGUUGUAAAGCCCUUUCGUGUGGAAAGAAUAGUCC